Long non-coding RNA from Rosa chinensis, 1636 nucleotides. RefSeq lists it as uncharacterized. The record is from RefSeq and is a predicted model, not a curated record. Lineage: Eukaryota; Viridiplantae; Streptophyta; Magnoliopsida; Rosales; Rosaceae. The transcript is spliced from 10 exons.
UCUCAUGCUCACGUUCCCAUCGCCCCCAAGCUAUAAUGAGGAUUCUCAUAGAGUUGAUGGGCAGAUUGGGGAAAUGAUGAUUUCAUGAGAAACAACAAAGAAGGUCUGUUAGCGAAGCUCAGAGAUAUGAGUUGGCCUGAGAAUGCUAAAUGGGUGGACAAGCUUACGUCGGAUAUUGAGCAAGAGCAACCGGUGGAUGUGCAUGAUGGCCUGACAAGGGAGCUUUCAUUUUAUGCACAGGCUCUAACUCGAAUGAGGAUGGCCUUUGAGAAGCUUCAGUUAAUGGGGCUUCCAUUUCUGAGACCUGAGGACUACUACGCAGAAAUGGUGAAGUCCGAGUCCCAACUGGGGAAAGUGAAGUCCCAAUUUUUGAUGCUUAAUAGACAAGUGGUGAAAUCUGAGUUUCCUACUAUUAAGGUGCUUGGAAUGGAUCUUGAAUUAGUGACGGCAAUUCUUUAUACAUAUGUGCUCUUCCAUCUUGCGUUUUGCCAAGUGACAGUUUUCUGUUAAAUUGAGAUUGGCAAAAUGAAAAGAAACUGCUUUUCUGUGUAUUCAUGUCCGAAUGUAACUUGGAAGCUCUUUUAUUUGAGAAAGCUAAUUAACCGUUAAAAGUGGAGACAAUAAUAGUUCUUUCUUGCAUCUUUGGUUCUCGGAUUUUGCCUGUCAAUUUCAUCAAGUGCAAGACGCCCUUAAGUACAAGGUGAGGCUGCAGUUUGUUCUUGGCUGAAGAGAACUAAGAAGGUUCCGAAGAGGAGUGCAAAAUCAAAUCAGAAAUAUGAGAAUAACAAAGACGACGAAGAGGAUCAAGAAGAAGCCGAUGAAGAUGAGAAGGAAGAGAAUGAUGCCCAGGACUAAUAUGUGAUUUGCAUUUUGAUUGGGUCCAGUUUGUGACGAGAAGAUUGGGUUUAAAACAAGUGGAACAGAUAGAGGUUUUGGGCGGUUGGUUGGGCUGAUUGGGGAAAACGGUGGAGCUGCAGACGCCAAAAAUCUACGGGUGAAGUUACUGUGGGUGUGGAAAAGUGCAAACUUGAAGAUUAUAGGAUGACAUUUUAUCUUUCUUGGUGUGGGAAGAGGUGGGAAUAGAGAAUUUCAGACUAAAUCUCCUCCAAAAGAUAGUCUGUGACUGUCAGCGUGCUGUUUUGGUCCUCCUUGGCCGAGCCUAGGUCCAGUCCUUCCACUUCUAUGUACCCGACUCUCGAGUGGGUGAUCGUGUUUUAGCUGAGAAGGUUUCAUAUCUCCUUAGAAAGCCUGAGGUUUCAUAUAUAGUGAUUUUCAAGGCACCUCCAAUCUUGCAGGAAAUUGGCUUUAGCUCGGGCGAUGUAUUUAUAAAAAGAAUUGUAGCCAGGGGUGGAGAUUAUGUUGAGGUACAUGAUGGGAAAUUGUUGGUGAAUGGUGAAAUUGAAAAUGAAGACAAUUUUUGCUUAGCCUGUGUUUGGCAAAUGCACCCGCAAAGUAGAGAUGUAAUGUGUUUAAUGUCUGUAAAUGUAGUAUUAAUCGUAUUGAUAAUACACCCGCAGAGUAACCACAUUGAAAUAGAACUCUAAAGAAAAUCGACAUAUGGUUAUCAUGAUUGCUGACAGAGUAAGACAAGCUCUUCUUUAGAGAAAUUGCAUUCGAAGAACCAACAAGCUAUAGC